CCAAUAGCGUAUAUUAAAGUUGUUGCAGUUAAAAAGCUCGUAGUUGAAUUUUGGGUUUGGCCGAUUGGUCCGUUCUUGUAGCGAGUACUGGUCGGUUGGGCCUCACCGCUUGGGGAAGGGUAAUGUCCUUUAUUGGGUGUUGCUCCUAGCCAAGACCUUUACCUUGAAAAAAUUAGAGUGUUUAAAGCAGGCAUAUGCCAGAAUACAUUAGCAUGGAAUAAUAGAAUAGGACAAUGAUUCUAUUUUGUUGGUUUCUAGGACCGUUGUAAUGAUUAAUAGGGAUAGUUGGGGGCAUUAGUAUUCAAUUGUCAGAGGUGAAAUUCUUGGAUUUAUUGAAGACUAACUACUGCGAAAGCAUUUGCCAAGGAUGUUUUCAUUAAUCAAGAACGAAAGUUAGGGGAUCGAAGACGAUCAGAUACCGUCGUAGUCUUAACCAUAAACUAUGCCGACUAGGGAUCGGGCGAUGUUGUUUCAAUGACUCGCUCGGCACCUUAUG
This 496-nucleotide ribosomal RNA is filed under the name uncultured Archaeospora. RNAcentral describes it as "SSU rRNA". It matches the Rfam family "Eukaryotic small subunit ribosomal RNA", at positions 591 to 1092 of the family's 1831-position model. The record is from RNAcentral. Lineage: Eukaryota; Fungi; Glomeromycota; Glomeromycetes; Archaeosporales; Archaeosporaceae.